GAUGAACGCUAGCGGCAGGCCUAACACAUGCAAGUCGAGGGGCAGCACAGAAACAGCAAUGUUUUGGUGGCGACCGGCGGACGGGUGCGUAACGCGUAUGCAACCUACCUUUAACAGGGGGAUACCGGAGAGAAAUUUCCACUAAUACCCCAUAACAUCGAUCAAGGCAUCUUGAUUGGUUGAUAACUCCGGUGGUUAAAGAUGGGCAUGCGUUGUAAUAGGUAGUUGGUGAGGUAAUGGCUCACCAAGCCUACGAUACAUAGGGGGACUGAGAGGUUAGCCCCCCACACUGGUACUGAGACACGGACCAGACUCCUACGGGAGGCAGCAGUGAGGAAUAUUGGUCAAUGGGGGCAACCCUGAACCAGCCAUGCCGCGUGCAGGAAGACGGCUCUAUGAGUUGUAAACUGCUUUUAAACAGGGAUAAAGCACAGUAUGUAUACUGUGUUGAAGGUACUGUAAGAAUAAGGAUCGGCUAACUCCGUGCCAGCCGCCGCGGUAA
This 502-nucleotide ribosomal RNA is filed under the name uncultured bacterium. RNAcentral's name for it is "partial 16S ribosomal RNA". It matches the Rfam family "Bacterial small subunit ribosomal RNA", at positions 28 to 523 of the family's 1533-position model. The record is from RNAcentral.